GCUCAACCGAGGAAGUGCUUCGAAAACUGGUAAACUUGAGUGCAGAAGAGGAAAGUGGAACUCCAUGUGUAGCGGUGGAAUGCGUAGAUAUAUGGAAGAACACCAGUGGCGAAGGCGGCUUUCUGGUCCGUAACUGACGCUGAGAUUCGAAAGCAUGGGUAGCAAACAGGAUUAGAUACCCUGGUAGUCCAUGCCGUAAACGAUGAGUGCUAAGUGUUGGAGGGUUUCCGCCCUUCAGUGCUGCAGCUAACGCAUUAAGCACUCCGCCUGGGGAGUACGACCGCAAGGUUGAAACUCAAAGGAAUUGACGGGGGCCCGCACAAGCGGUGGAGCAUGUGGUUUAAUUCGAAGCAACGCGAAGAACCUUACCAGGUCUUGACAUACCAUGAAAAGCUUAGAGAUAAGUCUUUCCCUUCGGGGACAUGGAUACAGGUGGUGCAUGGUUGUCGUCAGCUCGUGUCGUGAGAUGUUGGGUUAAGUCCCGCAACGAGCGCAACCCUUAUUAUCAGUUGCCAGCAUUCAGUUGGGCACUCUGGUGAGACUGCCGGUGACAAACCGGAGGAAGGUGGGGACGACGUCAAAUCAUCAUGCCCCUUAUGACCUGGGCUACACACGUGCUACAAUGGUCGGUACAACG
Molecule: ribosomal RNA, 637 nt
Filed under: uncultured bacterium
Lineage: Bacteria
Description: bacterial SSU rRNA
Rfam family: Bacterial small subunit ribosomal RNA
Source: RNAcentral